AGCGAACGCUGGCGGCAGGCUUAACACAUGCAAGUCGAGCGGAUGUAGCAAUACAUCAGCGGCAGACGGGUGAGUAACACGUGGGAACGUACCUUUUGGUUCGGAACAACACAGGGAAACUUGUGCUAAUACCGGAUAAGCCCUUACGGGGAAAGAUUUAUCGCCGAAAGAUCGGCCCGCGUCUGAUUAGCUAGUUGGUGAGGUAAUGGCUCACCAAGGCGACGAUCAGUAGCUGGUCUGAGAGGAUGAUCAGCCACAUUGGGACUGAGACACGGCCCAAACUCCUACGGGAGGCAGCAGUGGGGAAUAUUGGACAAUGGGCGCAAGCCUGAUCCAGCCAUGCCGCGUGAGUGAUGAAGGCCCUAGGGUUGUAAAGCUCUUUUGUGCGGGAAGAUAAUGACGGUACCGCAAGAAUAAG
RNAcentral lists this ribosomal RNA (418 nucleotides) under Bradyrhizobiaceae bacterium Ellin7182. RNAcentral describes it as "bacterial SSU rRNA". It matches the Rfam family "Bacterial small subunit ribosomal RNA", at positions 29 to 490 of the family's 1533-position model. The record is from RNAcentral. RNAcentral also lists the same sequence under 1 other name. Lineage: Bacteria; Pseudomonadati; Pseudomonadota; Alphaproteobacteria; Hyphomicrobiales; Nitrobacteraceae.